CCAUAUAGGCAUGUAGGGACUAGGGUGAAGAAACAACAAAUAUGGAUUAAAACAAAGACAUGUUCACCUACUCCCUUCUGCAACAAUUCCUUGAGUAUUGUAGAAGUUAAUUAGUGAAUACAGAGAAUAAAUAUGCCCACUAGUUUGUAUUACUAAUUGUUACCUGCUCCUACACUAAUUCUCACGUAUAUUUGAAAUUACUAGUAUUUUGAGUGUCAAAAUAAGAGAUUGCUAGAAUUCUCACGCGCAACACCGGCUUUCCGCCAUUUCGUGUAGUAAUCACUCAAUUAACAUUGAUUUCUAGAGUUAGUUGAAAUGUUAUCGGAGUUUUAAUCGGGCCACAUCCUGCAAUCAGGCGCAUUGUUCAUGGAAUGCCUGUUAUUGCCCUGUUGCUUUAGCAUUUUUACUCCUCCAGAUCAGUGCAUUUUUACUCCUGCAAUCCGACCACAUCCUGCAAUUGGGGAUUUUUAAAUGGAAAAUGAUUUCAAUCCUCCAGAGACGUGGUGAUGUUGGUAAAAGAAACUUUUGUACACCUGCAAUCUUAACUCUAAUGUUUUUACCUUCAGUUACAUGUCUGUAAGCUUAUUUUGUAGGUACUUUGGAUUGUUUUUUAGUUAAUGGAGGUUAGUUUUACAAUCCCUUCUCAAUUCUAAUUAUUUCUUCAUUAAGUUGAAAGCAACUGCCAUACAUAGGCGUUUCUCAAUCGUUUUAAUUGUGUUCGAAUACCAUUUCCAAAUGUCGUAUCUAGUUGUUGUGAUAGUUCCUGAAUUUUGGUAUGCUCGUUGCGGUAGUUCCCGAAUUUUUGUAUUAGGAUCAUACUGCAGGGAUAAGGUGGUCAUAUUCUUUUUGUGUUAGUUUUGAAUUCUUAUCUGAUCCCAAUUCUUAUUAGCUGAACUGGUCGUGCAGGAGCCACAAGAACUGCCUUCCCAUUUUUUACUCAUGCAAAUGCAAACAUGCUAGAGAACUUACUGAGAUUAUCAACAAGCAAAGCAAGCCGUGCCACCUCAACCUACUCUGUUUCAUGAUAAAAUGUCAUUUCCCUUUGCCUCUAUUUAUUUCAUCAUAUAUUUGUUGGUUGGUUCAUGUUAUUUCGAAUUAGACUUUUUAUUUCUUGCAUUUUAUGUGGAAUUUGUAAAUAGGUGUCAUCUAAAAUGUUGUUGUGUUUUUAUGAUGUUUGUUGGUUCUUGUUCUGAUAAGGUUUUUGGUACUUGAGAAAAGGUUCGAUAUUGAUGAAAGAUAGUCCAUUUUUUGCA
Salvia hispanica is the source of this 1253-nucleotide long non-coding RNA. RefSeq lists it as uncharacterized. NCBI's taxonomy places the organism in Eukaryota, Viridiplantae, Streptophyta, Magnoliopsida, Lamiales, Lamiaceae. The record is from RefSeq and is a predicted model, not a curated record.